ACCUGUUUGUUGCAGGAUUCAGUCGGCUGAGACAUCACUUUUGGGGAACAUUGAAGAAGAGAUCCAGUGUUGAAUUAGUCAUGUCUAAUGAAAUGCACUGAUAUAUGAUAAAUACCUAGCAUAUGGGCACACAACAAAUGCACCAUUCAUGCCCACUCUUUCCAGAAGGCACAUUGACAGUUCUCGUCUUUACUCACUGCCUGAACCUUUCCUUACCCUUUGACCAAACCUAACCACUUCUUACCUUUUUCUUUUGUUUUGCUUUGUUUUUCUGCAUCUCUAGGUAUUUGCCUCUGUUGCUCCCUUUGCCUGGAAGCUUACCUAGUCCCAUCCAUGCCUUUGGAAAUCACGCGAAAAUGCUUCGAGCUGGAUCCCACGUGUCAUCACCUCAACAAAAGCCUUUCCCUGAGCUGUUUAACCGACCGUGCUUCCUCAAAACAGUGUAUACGCACGCAAGGUCAACUGCCUUCGCUCAGCCGAGCACACAUUAGAGCCUCGCCGGGGUGCCCUGCUACGAGCCCCCGCAGCGGCACAGGGGAGACGUCCAGUGACUUGACACGAGAAGGGACAGGUCUCCAGUCAUCCUACAGCGUGUCAUGA
Molecule: long non-coding RNA, 600 nt
Filed under: Felis catus (domestic cat)
Lineage: Eukaryota; Metazoa; Chordata; Mammalia; Carnivora; Felidae
Description: lncRNA (ENSFCAG00000045601.2)
Source: RNAcentral